RNAcentral lists this long non-coding RNA (810 nucleotides) under Phoenix dactylifera (date palm). Its description in RNAcentral is "long non-coding RNA (PDAC_LNC018001)". The record is from RNAcentral. Lineage: Eukaryota; Viridiplantae; Streptophyta; Magnoliopsida; Arecales; Arecaceae.
AUCUCUGGCCCCCCUUGCGGGCCCGAGCCCGUGAGCGGCCUGGGCCUCUUUUGGGUUUGGGCCCAGGCCGCGACUGAGCCACUGGGCCCCGGGUCAGCCCACGUCAGGGCGAGUCCCUGACUCGGCCCCAGGUCGACUCGCAGAGGGGUAAUCCCCUGGCUCGGCUCCGAGACUUCAAGCUCAACCAGGUCGUCCCCAAGCUCGCCGGCCGGGUCGACCUGAAGAGAGCCGAGAGGAGGAGCCAAGUGUAGCCCUUCCCCCCCCGCUGCCGGCGGCGACCGACGGCAUGCGACCUUUGCUGGCUUUUGCCAGCCGUCCAUGUCCGCCGGGGACACUGGUGUGGUCGGUGUGGUCAGCUGAGCUGCCGGGGGUGGCGGUCGACUCGAGGACGACCCAGACCCAAGUCAGGUCCGGUCGUCUCCCUCGGCCGCAGCGGCCGAUCCUCCCAUGGGAUUUUCUGUUGCGUCGCCACCAUCCAGGGGCCGUAGGCUGGCCCUUGGAUCUCCUCCCCGCCGCCCGAGGUCGGUAGAUAGGGCCUUACCCCCCGUCUCCAUUACCACCGGGGGCGCAUCCUCGUCUGUGCGGGAUGCUGUCAGAAACGGCAAGCCGUUUCCACGUGCCCCAUCCGCCCAUAGCAGGGGUAGAGAAUCGGGAUGUUCUCGAAGAUGAAGGGCUGCCACCGCACCUUUGUCUUCCCCUAUAUCAGGAUUUUCGGCCGUAGCUGUCAUGACCCCCCGUCCCCGUUCCCGGCAGGCCGCCGCGACGGUCCUAGAGUGCGGGUAGGCAUAAGGCCACCAACCACCGCGUAGA